GACGUGGGGGGCGAGCGUUGUCCGGAAUUACUGGGCGUCAAGCGCGCGUAGGCGGGCUGGCAGGCGGCGUGUGGAAGGCGGGGGCUCAACCCCCGAUGGGCGCGCCGAACCGCUAGUCUUGGGACGGCGAGGGGCAGGUGGAAUGGUCGGAGGAGCGGUGAAAUGCGCAGAUAUCAGGAGGAACACCGGUGGCGAAGGCGGGACUCUGGGCCGAUACUGACGCUGAGGAGCGAAAGCGUGGGGAGCAAACAGG
Molecule: ribosomal RNA, 253 nt
Filed under: uncultured bacterium
Lineage: Bacteria
Description: partial 16S ribosomal RNA
Rfam family: Bacterial small subunit ribosomal RNA
Source: RNAcentral